Molecule: long non-coding RNA, 416 nt
Filed under: Nicotiana benthamiana
Lineage: Eukaryota; Viridiplantae; Streptophyta; Magnoliopsida; Solanales; Solanaceae
Description: long non-coding RNA (NBEN_LNC021511)
Source: RNAcentral
UUAAUAGUCUCAUUUAGUCCGUUAGCUUCAAGGCGCACAUAGUUAUUCCUUGAAAUGACUCCUAUGUAGCUAAAAUUCUCUAAAUAAAUGGUUCCUUGUUUUUUGUUGGAUUCUGACCUCAUGAGUUGUUAGCUUUUAUGCAAGGUCAAUAUUGGUCAUUCUCUAUCAAUUGUGUAUUUUAGGUUUUUUUGCAUUAGUCAAGUAACAUGUCUAGAUCCUCACCCCCUAAUACUUGGUUAGCUUAUUGAGUUUGACCCUUCCAUGGUCAAAUUCAUAGCCUAAACUAAUCUUCUCUUCCUUUAAGUGUAUCCUGUAUUUGCUUUAAGGCUUCUUGCUAUAACUUUGAGGUUUAAAAACUCACUUGAUGCAUGAGUUUAACCUUUUUGACAUGGUUGAACCCAUGAAUCAGGCUGUCC